Erinaceus europaeus (western European hedgehog) is the source of this 285-nucleotide unclassified non-coding RNA. Its record names the gene 7SK. It matches the Rfam family "7SK RNA". Rfam says of the family: 7SK was discovered as an abundant small nuclear RNA in the mid-70s but a possible function has only recently been suggested. Two independent studies have found that 7SK RNA binds the CDK9/cyclin T complex (known as elongation factor P-TEFb). Lineage: Eukaryota; Metazoa; Chordata; Mammalia; Eulipotyphla; Erinaceidae. The record is from Ensembl.
GGAUGUGAGGAUGAUCGGGCUGUGAUAUCUGUCACCCCGUUGAUUGCCAGAGCUGAUUCGGCUGAUCUGGCUAGCUGGAUGGUGGCCCCUCACCCCUCACCGCUCCAUGUCCGUCCUUCCUGAAGCUGCACUUGGUCAAAGAGGAUGACCUCCCCCAAAUAGACAGAUCGGUCUUCAGUCAGGGGUAUACGAGAAGCUGCACUCCCCUGCCAAACAAGCUCUCAAGACCCAAAUUAGGGCAUUACCAGGCUUAAUUUCUUUUUCUACCGAUAACACAAACACAUU